UGGCGCAGCUGGAGGACUAGGUGUAAUACGGUCCCAGAAAAACUACAGGAUGGACUAACCCUGCUUAUUCCUGUGAAUCAAGAGGUGAUCUUCUGCAGCUUGGAAAAAAAAAAGCGAUGGAUGGAGUUUCACUCUUAUCACCCAGGCUGGAGUGCAAUAGCGCAAUCUUGGCUCACUGCAACCUCUGCCUCCUGGGUUCAAGCGAUUCUCCUGGCUGGCCCAGAGUGGUGGCAGUGGAGGCAGGGAGAAGUGUUCACAUUCUGGGUACCUUUGAAGGCCAGCUGCUACCCACCUCCUCGGCUCUGCAAGACACUCCCAGACCUGCCUGUGUCCUAUUCGUCUCCCCUCUGCAGACAGAGGCUCUCCUCAAGACUUUGUUCUGCAAAACCCCCACCACUACCCCUAAGAAGGCAAAAGGGCAACUGAGGCAUGAAGCAGGGGGCACGCACGGGGGAGUCCCACAUUCCUGAUCUGACUCCCCAGGCAUAUUGUGCUGCUUCUGGGGAGCUUGCCACGGCCUGCCUCCUCCCGGGUUUGGGCCCUUGUUUAUAUCUGUUCACCUGUGCUUUCCCCUUCCCUGCAGAACAGCGAUCAGAACCUGUUCAUAUCUGGGACCCCACAGUCCUUACCUAGGGCAGCUAGGUGUUCCCUGGCUGAAUGAAGGGAUGUGGAGUUUCCUGCUGGGUGGUGGGUAGGACAGGCUUGGAAGACAGGGGUGGAAUUAAGUAAGGAAGCUCCAGAAGGACACAGGGCCAUAGAUACUCUCCCACCCAACUCCAGGCCACAUCAGGAACACCUGCUAACAUUUCCUGAACACUCUUUUUGAGCCAGGCCCUGUGUAUUUUAGAUGCGGUUUCAUUUGAUCUUCACAGGAGCCCUAUGAGGUAGGCAUCCCCAACCCCACUUUAUAGAUGCAAACAACUAAGGCACAGAGAAGUUAUUUGUUCAAGGUCACAUGGCUACUAAGCAACAAAACUAGGAUGCAAAAGCAGAUUUGUUCGACCCCACAUGCUGUGUGCUUUGCUACAAUCCACACUGUCUCCCAGGCCCCACAGAGCCCCAAAUGCAUGUGUCUCACCAGUUUCACCUGUGGCCACUGUGCUCAGCUAUCCUCAUCCUAAGACAAUUGUAGUUAUGGUUAAGGAAAGCCUUUUAUUAAAUUGCCAAACACCAGGGAUGAUGA
Molecule: long non-coding RNA, 1183 nt
Organism: Homo sapiens (human)
Lineage: Eukaryota; Metazoa; Chordata; Mammalia; Primates; Hominidae
Gene: CATIP-AS2
Product: CATIP antisense RNA 2
Exons: 4
Source: RefSeq, marked validated